UGUUUUUUUCACCCGAUUUUUCCUGAAAAAAAAAUAUAAUUAUUAUUUUUAUACUAAUUAUUUUUUACUAUAUUAUUGCUAUUUCACGAUCAUGCGCAUAUCUUGCUAUCGUGAGCCGACUUGUCUACCAAGUAACCACAAGUAAAGAAAGGGCCUCAUCUUCUCAAGUCACUAUCACGCGUGCUUGACUGCUUGUCCAUUCAAAUAGCCACACAGUUCAACGAUCCAACUCGUUGACCCGACCCCAUAGUUACACUAUUGCAAAUCAGAGUUAACUGAAUAACUCGCAUCAAACUCGACCGAGCCUCUACUGAGUUAAGUCGAUUUAUACUAGACAAUGUACGUUUGUUACGAGUACACGAGUUAGGCGAGUUAACUCGCUCAAGUCAAACCAACUAGCGCCGGUCAAAAGCUAAAACACAAAAAGCACUCUUGAGGGUUCACCACAUACCUUCUCUUGGAGCAA
Molecule: unclassified non-coding RNA, 466 nt
Filed under: Hevea brasiliensis (rubber tree)
Lineage: Eukaryota; Viridiplantae; Streptophyta; Magnoliopsida; Malpighiales; Euphorbiaceae
Source: RNAcentral